GGGGAAAUAGCUGAGUUGGUUAAAGUGCUGGCCUAUCACACCAGAAGUCAUGGGUUUGAACCCCAUUUUCUCUA
Molecule: non-coding RNA, 74 nt
Organism: Nymphaea colorata (pocket water lily)
Lineage: Eukaryota; Viridiplantae; Streptophyta; Magnoliopsida; Nymphaeales; Nymphaeaceae
Source: the annotation of a RefSeq genome assembly